GAUCAUGGCUCAGGAUGAACGCUAGCUACAGGCUUAACACAUGCAAGUCGAGGGGCAGCAUGGUCUUAGCUUGCUAAGACCGAUGGCGACCGGCGCACGGGUGAGUAACGCGUAUCCAACCUGCCUUACACUCUUGGACAGCCUUCUGAAAGGGAGAUUAAUACAAGAUGUUAUCAUGAGUAAGCAUUUUCGCAUGAUUAAAGUACGUU
RNAcentral lists this ribosomal RNA (209 nucleotides) under uncultured bacterium. RNAcentral describes it as "partial 16S ribosomal RNA". It matches the Rfam family "Bacterial small subunit ribosomal RNA", at positions 15 to 212 of the family's 1533-position model. The record is from RNAcentral.